This 480-nucleotide ribosomal RNA is filed under the name uncultured bacterium. RNAcentral's name for it is "bacterial SSU rRNA". It matches the Rfam family "Bacterial small subunit ribosomal RNA", at positions 30 to 506 of the family's 1533-position model. The record is from RNAcentral.
UUGAACGCUGGCGGCAUGCUUUACACAUGCAAGUCGAACGGUAACAGGUCUUCGGAUGCUGACGAGUGGCGAACGGGUGAGUAAUGCAUCGGAACGUGCCCAGUCGUGGGGGAUAACGCAGCGAAAGCUGUGCUAAUACCGCAUACGAUCUAUGGAUGAAAGCGGGGGAUCGCAAGACCUCGCGCGAUUGGAGCGGCCGAUGUCAGAUUAGCUAGUUGGUGGGGUGAAGGCCCACCAAGGCGACGAUCUGUAGCUGGUCUGAGAGGACGACCAGCCACACUGGGACUGAGACACGGCCCAGACUCCUACGGGAGGCAGCAGUGGGGAAUUUUGGACAAUGGGCGCAAGCCUGAUCCAGCAAUGCCGCGUGCAGGAAGAAGGCCUUCGGGUUGUAAACUGCUUUUGUACGGAACGAAAAGGUCUGGGUUAAUACCCUGGGCUCAUGACGGUACCGUAAGAAUAAGCACCGGCUAACUACGU